MicroRNA precursor from Pelodiscus sinensis (Chinese soft-shelled turtle), 85 nucleotides. Ensembl annotates it as microRNA 132. Its record names the gene MIR132. The record is from Ensembl. NCBI's taxonomy places the organism in Eukaryota, Metazoa, Chordata, Testudines, Trionychidae.
UGUCUCCAGGGCAACCGUGGCUUUAGAUUGUUACUGUGUCUUGUGUUGGUAACAGUCUACAGCCAUGGUCGCUUGGGCCAGACGC